This 1033-nucleotide long non-coding RNA is filed under the name Eucalyptus grandis. RNAcentral describes it as "long non-coding RNA (EGRA_LNC001903)". The record is from RNAcentral. Lineage: Eukaryota; Viridiplantae; Streptophyta; Magnoliopsida; Myrtales; Myrtaceae.
GAUCUAAGUGUCCCGAUCAACUUUUGUGAAGACACCGACUCGACAAUCAUAGCACAAAAAUCAUGAAAAAUGAACAAGCAUCAUAGGUCCGUGAAAACUGAACAUCCAACAUAACAUUAUCAGUUUCAAAAUCAGAUUCUGAUCUUGCAGCAAGCAUGUGACAGGGCAAAUUGUGGCCAAAUCGAGCAUAUAAUAUAUCUAUGGAAAGUUCAUGAAGUCUACUUCGAAUCAUGUGAAGACAAACCUAAAUAGGGUCAUCUAGUAGCUCAUUUCAAUAUGUUUAUCAUAUUAGUCAAAACAGAUCUACGAAUUUCCAGAACAAGUAACUAUGCAACACCAAGCUAUCAGUCGAUCAUCAAUCAUCUCAAAUCAUUACAACUCAUCAUAGCUCAUCAAAAUCAUUGAUCUAAACAUGUAAUAGCAACCUAGGGUUCGAAUCAAAGCCCCAAUCGCCUAUGGUAAUCUCGCCUCAUCAUAUUCAAGUUUAGGAUGUCUACCUUUGUUGUCUUCGAACUUGAGCUCAAAUGACCUAUUCCAGCCAUCGAAUAACACCUCAAAAUGGUUCAAUGUAGCUCAACAAUGAUUUAGAACAAAUGAUAAAAUCUCAAGUUAGAAUCAAACUCAAUCAAGCGAAGAAAUGAUUAAAGAAGGAGGAUCAAGUAAAGUUUAGGAAGAUUGACGUCGAUCAGUGGAGCUUCGAAUGAACACCAUGCCACUACAAGCUCGGCAACUCAUUGAAGAACACUGUCGCAAGGCUAAGGCCACUGGAUGAGAUCAUUAGACCACUGAAACAGGUGAUCAAAGUCGCUAGAAGAACACUGGCAUGAGACACAGCCUCUUGGCCUGAGGGGAAUAGAUUGCCAAUCACAGCCCACCGGUGAGGGAUGGCGCCGGUGAAGCUUGCGACUGAAGAGGGGAGGCUUCAGUGGAUUACUAGAGAGGGCGUCGGAGUGUGGUGGUCAGCAGCCAAAGAGGCUACAAGAGAGAGAGAGAGAGAGAGAGAGAGAGAGAGAGAGAGGAUCUGAAAAAUGAG